UAGCAUUUGAUUAAGCCUGUGUUGGUAGGGACAUCUGAGCGUGUUGACAAAUGCCACCAGCUCUGAUGGCAAAAA
Molecule: small nucleolar RNA, 75 nt
Filed under: Carlito syrichta (Philippine tarsier)
Lineage: Eukaryota; Metazoa; Chordata; Mammalia; Primates; Tarsiidae
Description: Small nucleolar RNA SNORD74 (ENSTSYG00000021876.2)
Rfam family: Small nucleolar RNA SNORD74
About the family: Z18 also identified as U74 (SNORD74) belongs to the C/D class of snoRNA which contain the C (UGAUGA) and D (CUGA) box motifs.
Source: RNAcentral